CCUACGGGAGGCAGCAGUGGGGAAUAUUGGGCAAUGGGCGCAAGCCUGACCCAGCAACGCCGCGUGAAGGAAGAAGGCUUUCGGGUUGUAAACUUCUUUUCUGAGGGACGAAGAAAGUGACGGUACCUCAGGAAUAAGCCACGGCGAACUACGUGCCAGCAGCCGCGGUAAUACGGAGUUGGCAAGCGUUAUCCGGAUUUAUUGGGUGUAAAGGGCGUGUAGGCGGGAAAGCAAGUCAGAUGUGAAAACGCAGGGCUCAACCGUGGGCCUGCAUUUGAAACUGUUUUUCUUGAGUGCCGGAGAGGUAAUCGGAAUUCCGGGUGUAGCGGUGAAAUGCGUAGAUAUAAGGAGGAACACCAGUGGCGAAGGCGGAUUGCUGGACAGUAACUGACGGUGAGGCGCGAAAGCGUGGGGAGCAAACAGGAUUAGAUACCCUAGUAGUC
RNAcentral lists this ribosomal RNA (443 nucleotides) under uncultured bacterium. RNAcentral's name for it is "partial 16S ribosomal RNA". It matches the Rfam family "Bacterial small subunit ribosomal RNA", at positions 338 to 795 of the family's 1533-position model. The record is from RNAcentral.